This 3594-nucleotide unclassified non-coding RNA is filed under the name Leishmania donovani. RNAcentral's name for it is "gene:LdHU3.36.8560(CDS-product:hypothetical_prote in_conserved)". Lineage: Eukaryota; Euglenozoa; Kinetoplastea; Trypanosomatida; Trypanosomatidae. The record is from RNAcentral.
AACACAACGACGCCUUGCGCAUCAUCCACGUACUUGUCAAUGCGCCGACUUGCACAGGAGACGCGGUCGCGGCGGCCUUUCCGCCUCAUCUUAGCGCUCACGAGCGCCCUUCGAACACAGGCUUCGCGAAGCCAGACAUCUGACAACGCGGCGCCUUUCCACAGCCACCUCGAUGAGGACGAAAUAGCAUCCCUCUUUCCAGGCAACCCUGGCGCGCAUGAGGCAAGUCGGAAGCCACGUCAGCGUCGACGCCGCGGCAACGGUGAAGCAGACACGUUGCUGAAAGACGUAUACGCGCUUGGCAAGAUCGUCGCCGACGAGCAGAAGCGGAGUCGCGUAUCCAUCCCAGCUUCGCGGUUGGGGGGGAGAUCCGGCCCAAACACCCGGGCGCCGAGGAGAGCCGCGUCGGGAGACGUUGCAUCGUCUCUACCCUCCGCGGAGGGCUCGCUAAAUGCCAAACCGCUAGUCGCACCGCCGCCGCUCUCGACACCAGCGAUGGCCGUGAACGCCGGCACACGGAAUCGACGAGCUUCAUUCCCUCCGGCGGCGUCGCCACCUCGCGAAGCAGCGUUGCCACCUCUUCAGUCCUGGACAUCGUCCUUCAUUCUCACGCCGGAACACCUGCAGGCCACCUCCGACGCCCACGGCGCGUCCGACAUCGCCUUUACUUUGGAGGAGUUGGAAAACACGCUCUUUUCUCCCGUCGUCGAGAGGACCGAGUGCGACGCGCAGCUGAAGAAGAGAGAGGCACCUACAGGGUUGUUUGACCCACCGCCACCGCCGGUGGCUCCUACAAUGCCGUGUAGUGAAGCGCCACCUGCACGACUCGAGCUCGUCCCAGCAGCACCAACGAUCGACACCGUCGACGCAGCAGCGCCACCUGUGGCGCAGACUGCUGCAUCGCCGAGGUCGACUCUCGACGGCCCAACCCCAGCCUCGCCUACUGCCAGCACAGCGCCUUUUCUGCCUUCGGCGGCAGGCUUUGCCACGACUUUCCCCCUCACCUCCUCUCCACCCACAUUCUCUGAUCGCCGUUGCUCACCAGCGAAGGUGUUCACCCGUGCGUCGCUCGCGACUCCCGUUCUCCGGUGCCGUCUACGCGGAUCAACGGUAUAUGUGAGCAUGACACGACCCUUCCCGACUCCCCGUGAGUUGCUGGAGGCCCUUCACGAGGCGGUCACGUUUAUCGAGUCGCUACCGGCUCUGCCGCAGGGCCCUCGGCUGGUGCGCCUGGGAGUGGAUUCGCCAAGCGCAGCGUCGGCCUCUCGCGCCUUCCUGGAACCGGCGGGGUGGACCGAAGUUACGUCUAGCGUGGAGGAGCGUGUGGCAGCGCAGCUUCUCAAAGAGCGGCUGCUGCAGCGUAUGACGGAGGGUCCCGUGCGCGGGCUGCGGUACAUCGCGGAGCUGCGCGCAGCUGAAGUGGAGGCGCCGCUGGUCGUCCGUGACACGGCGGCGGAGCUGCUGCUGGCCUGCACCACGUACGAGAUUUGUCCUUGCGCCCGGCCCGGUGUGGCGCUGAACGGUAGCACAGACGGUGCCGUGCGGCUUUCGUUUAGCGGAAUCGGCGUCGGUUUGUUUCCGGCGCCGUCGACCGUUCUGCGACUCAUGCAAGCGGUCGCGGCGAUGUGCGACGGAGAGGCAGAGCGCACGCUUCUCCUAGAGGCGCUAGCCCGCGCAGGCGGACGCCCUGCCGGCACGGUUGCUGCUCCGCAGGCGCGAGAUCUUGUUGUGGAAGUGAUGCAGCACCUGCACGACCUGCCUGUUGUGGUUUCCGCGGAACUGCUGAGGGGUUGCGUGGGUUCACAUGGAAGUACGAGGGAGAAAGCCAUGGGGGCAGCAGCGGGGGGUCGAGCACACAUAGUUCACUGGUUUAAUGCAGCGAAGGCAACAGCGAGGCAAUGGUGGGAGUUGGUGCAGGAACGUGGGCACGGAAUGUGGUCGACACCCAACAAACGCCUUGGCGCCUGCUCCGCGAGCGUGUCCUCCUGCCUCACCGCUAGCGAGGUGUGGAGGCGUUUGUGCGACGCGAUUCUCUCGCCCGCAGCCGAUGACGUCUCCAUACAUCAGGCUCUCUCCGACGCGAUGCAUUCUGCGCCUGUGCGGCGGUGCAGGCAGAACUACCUGGCUGUCGCCUCGCCUGCGUUUGCACACACAGCCACCUCUGAUUCCCCCUUGCGAGCCGUUGUCGUUGACGUCACUGCCUCCUCACUCCAGCACACGUCCGUGGCGGACCUCGCUUGUGAGAUUUGCGAGCAGCCGGCGGACGUGGUCCUCGCGCUAUCCAAUGAUGUGCGACUGCAGCAGAAGCUGCAUUUUCUCGCGUCACUGCACUUGACAGAGAGUGGCAGUCACCACUGCGUCACCGUAUUACUUCCCGGCGACCCGGCCGAGGUGGCCGAGUGCGUGUCUCUGACGCGGUCGUGUGCCCGCUUAGCACCGCAGCAGCCAUGCUACGAGGCGCAUCCGUCCGAGCUGCACCCAUGUCACCCGCGCUGGCUGCAUCAGCUUAUCGAGGUGAGCAACGCUCGUUCCUCUGCAGCCGUCCCAGGCAGCUCAUCAGCGCCCCAUGAUGCAGAACCUGCAUCACUCGCUGAGCUUUACGUCGCGCACGCGUGGCGCCGCCCGUGUGUGACGACGCGUACAAGCAGUGUAGGGCUGGAGAUGUCCGCUGCCGUGGCCUUUUCGUGGCAGCGGCUCAUCGCGACCGCCACAGGGGCAGCCCCGAAGAAGGUGCUUGUGGAGGAAUUUCAGCACACGCAUCUGGCACCGCUCGUGCUGCUGCGCCCGCCCGCCAAGAACGACGGUGGUGACCACGCGGCGCAGGCGUGGUGGACCGAAUAUGGCGAGAUGUCGAUAACACAAAAGGAGGCAGCAGCGUCGACCACCGUGCUGACGCUCAUGAAAAGCAUGAGUGCCGCUUGGCCGGUCCCCUCCUCGGCGUCUGGUCUCACGGCGCCUACCAAUCGUAGCAGCAGCUGCGUUUUCGAGUGCGGCGUUGCGUUUCUCUUUGUGCUCGACGUGGCAUGCCAAAGUUUGCUUCGUCGUGACAUUGAAUCACCGGAUCAGCUCAACGUUCUCUCCAUCGCGGCUCUCGGACUGGACAGCUCUGCUGGUGGUCUCGUGGAGGUGGCGGACCGCGUUGCUGGCGACGGUGUAGAGACACUUGUCUCUGCCAUGGAAGAGACGGCGGCGGUACACGGCGUCCGCUUUGCCUCGCUCGCGCUGCUCCGCUGGAUGGUGGAUAAUCGGCUUCUGCUUUAUCAGCUGACCCCACACACGAUUCACCGUUACACCACCUACUUGCAACACCGCGGCGUGUAGGGCGCGGGUGUGGCCUGGGCCCUGUCAGUUUGCAGUGAUCGCAGUGCGCAUUUUCGUGUGUGCGCGUGUGCGUGUGUUGCCGCUCUGACACCACGUUUGCCGUCAGAGCGCCACCUGCCACAGCUGCCGCGGGAGGGGGGAGGAAAGGAUGUGUGAUGCUCUUGUGCGCUUUCCGCUCUUUGCGCCGCUGCCUGCGUGGUUGUUUGUCGUGUUCCUGUUAAGAACGGCUCCCAGGCGCAGUGGGGUGCUUCACAUUGGCACUCGAGCACUUCG